UCAGUUGGUUUGCUUGCAAACCAAAGCUGGCGACCGGCGCACGGGUGAGUAACACGUAUCCAACCUGCCUCAUACUCGGGGAUAGCCUUCUGAAAGGAAGAUUAAUACAAGAUGGCAUCAUGAGUCCGCAUGUUCACAUGAUUAAAGGUAUUCCGGUAGACGAUGGGGAUGCGUUCCAUUAGAUAGUAGGCGGGGUAACGGCCCACCUAGUCUUCGAUGGAUAGGGGUUCUGAGAGGAAGGUCCCCACAUUGGAACUGAGACACGGUCCAAACUCC
RNAcentral lists this ribosomal RNA (276 nucleotides) under uncultured Bacteroides sp. RNAcentral describes it as "partial 16S ribosomal RNA". It matches the Rfam family "Bacterial small subunit ribosomal RNA", at positions 69 to 339 of the family's 1533-position model. The record is from RNAcentral. Lineage: Bacteria; Pseudomonadati; Bacteroidota; Bacteroidia; Bacteroidales; Bacteroidaceae.